Schizophyllum amplum is the source of this 89-nucleotide non-coding RNA. The record is from the annotation of a GenBank genome assembly. NCBI's taxonomy places the organism in Eukaryota, Fungi, Basidiomycota, Agaricomycetes, Agaricales, Schizophyllaceae.
GGGCUUGUGGUACAGUGGUAGCACGUUCGCUUCGCAUCUCACUGCGAUACACCUGCGAAAGGUCCUGGGUUCAAUUCCCAGCAAGUCCA